UACGUAGGCAGCGAGCGUUGUUCGGAGUUACUGGGCGUAAAGAGUGCGUAGGCGGUUUUCUAAGUUUGGUGUGAAAUCUCCCGGCUUAACUGGGAGGGUGCGCCGAAGACUGGAAGGCUUGAGUAUGGGAGAGGUAAGCGGAAUUCCUGGUGUGGCGGUGAAAUGCGUAGAUAUCAGGAGGAACACCUGCGGUGUAGACGGCUUACUGGACCAUCACUGACGCUGAGGCACGAAAGCGUGGGUAGCAAACAGG
Molecule: ribosomal RNA, 253 nt
Filed under: uncultured bacterium
Lineage: Bacteria
Description: partial 16S ribosomal RNA
Rfam family: Bacterial small subunit ribosomal RNA
Source: RNAcentral